Molecule: long non-coding RNA, 502 nt
Organism: Mastomys coucha (southern multimammate mouse)
Lineage: Eukaryota; Metazoa; Chordata; Mammalia; Rodentia; Muridae
Exons: 2
Source: RefSeq, a predicted model, not a curated record
CCUUCCAAGACCUUGUGAUUCUGUUGGGCUUUGUUCCACUUCUGCUGUGGCAGCCCAAAGUAGGUAGAUGAAUCUGGCUGAUGACUUGGCAACAAUCACUGUCACAAUGGAAGACUGCUCAUGGACUACUCUAGUUCUAGCAAGAGCUAGGACACAGUCUCCGGACAAGAGGGUUUGGACGGUGAGCGUUCAUCUCAGAAAUCUAGAAAAGAAUGAUGGUUUUCCAGAGCUGGACCAGGCCCAGGGAGGGUCAGAUAAUGAGUCACAGUUCCUUUGCACAGCUCUGUAACUACAAUGAACAGUCAUGCUUUGCACAUUUGGAAGUGUCCAGAAGAGAGGAUUUUUGAACAUUCCACCUCGGAGACAAGAUAAAUGUUUGAGACGGUGGGCAUGCAGUGACCCUGCUUUGAUCACUGCAAAAUGCAUCCAUGCACGGAAACUACAUUAUAUUACAUAUAUUUGCCCAAUUGGUGUCAAAUAGAAAAUAAAAAUAAAUAUGAAA